AUUGAACGCUGGCGGCAGGCCUAACACAUGCAAGUCGAGCGGAUGAAGGGAGCUUGCUCCUGGAUUCAGCGGCGGACGGGUGAGUAAUGCCUAGGAAUCUGCCUGGUAGUGGGGGAUAACGUCCGGAAACGGGCGCUAAUACCGCAUACGUCCUGAGGGAGAAAGUGGGGGAUCUUCGGACCUCGCGCUAUCAGAUGAGCCUAGGUCGGAUUAGCUAGUUGGUGGGGUAAAGGCCUACCAAGGCGACGAUCCGUAACUGGUCUGAGAGGAUGAUCAGUCACACUGGAACUGAGACACGGUCCAGACUCCUACGGGAGGCAGCAGUGGGGAAUAUUGGACAAUGGGCGAAAGCCUGAUCCAGCCAUGCCGCGUGUGUGAAGAAGGUCUUCGGAUUGUAAAGCACUUUAAGUUGGGAGGAAGGGCAGUAAGUUAAUACCUUGCUGUUUUGACGUUACCAACAGAAUAAGCGCCGGCUAACUUCGUG
This 484-nucleotide ribosomal RNA is filed under the name uncultured bacterium. RNAcentral's name for it is "partial 16S ribosomal RNA". It matches the Rfam family "Bacterial small subunit ribosomal RNA", at positions 30 to 507 of the family's 1533-position model. The record is from RNAcentral.